Unclassified non-coding RNA from Cebus imitator (Panamanian white-faced capuchin), 334 nucleotides. Its record names the gene 7SK. It matches the Rfam family "7SK RNA". Rfam says of the family: 7SK was discovered as an abundant small nuclear RNA in the mid-70s but a possible function has only recently been suggested. Two independent studies have found that 7SK RNA binds the CDK9/cyclin T complex (known as elongation factor P-TEFb). The record is from Ensembl. NCBI's taxonomy places the organism in Eukaryota, Metazoa, Chordata, Mammalia, Primates, Cebidae.
GGAUGUGAGGGCAAUCUGGCUGCGAAAUCUGUCACCCCAUUGAUCGCUAGGGUUGAUUCAGCUGAUCUGGCUGGCUAGGCAGGUGUCCCCUUCCUCUCUCAUGUCCAUCCCUCCCAAAGCUGCAUGCUCGGUCAAAGAGGAUGACUAUCUCUGAUAGAGGAGGACUGGUCUUCGGUCAAGAGUACAUGAGGAGCUGCACUACCCCACUGGAAUCUCCAAACAAGCUCUCUUUAACUGACAAAUAAAAGUUGUAUAUAUUUAUCAAGUACAUCAUUUUGAAAAAUGCAUAAAUUGUGGAAUGCUAAAUCAAGCUAAUUAGCAUAUGCAUUACAUC